UUCCUGGAGUUGUGGUGGGUUUCCGGGUGUCAGCAGCGCCCCUGAUUUUGUUGCCCUUUGGUGGCCCCGGGUCUCCCAGGUGUUGGCCGGGCUCCUACGGAGGCUGCCUGCGGCCUGCCCUGCCCCCACUGCUCAGUGUAGUCCUUUUCCUGGUUGGAGGCCCACGGCCGGCUAGAUUUCGACCUGGACCCUCUCAUCUGCCCUUCUCCACCGAGCAGGUGGAAGAGUGGUGGCGGGAAUGCGCCAGCUCUGACCUCCCUGCGGUGCGCGCUGCGGGGCUGGGAGCAACUGUGCUGGGUUCUGAGGCCCAUGCGGGUGCCUUCUUGGAGCCGCGCCAGCACCAGAAAUCGCCCGGGCUCGGAGUCCCAAUUAGAGGCGAUGGUAUCGUUUUACAUUCCUAGCAUCAGUGUACGAGGCCCAGUUCCUCCACAUCCUCGCCAACACGUGUACUUUAAUCAGCAUUUAAUGACCCAGUCGAAAAUUCAUUGUUUGGACCCAAGCACUGGUGGGAAAGGCAGGAGGGGAGGCCUGCCUUCCUUCCUCCCUCCCGAGCCCUACAGCAGGCCAUGGAGUGGUGAGCGAGUUCGUACAGUGCCAACCACAUUCCCAGAAACUUCCAGCAGAGGUUAAUCCUGCUCCUCUCAGGUGGGCUUGGCCCAUUCUCUAGACUUUGGAAGGUAAUGUUCUAUAGAGGCCUGUUCUGAAGCUUUACCAGGUCAAACCGGAGAAGAACCCAACAAGUAACUCAUCCCAGCCUAACUAUUCUUCAAGGGCAAUCAACCUACAGCAUCCAAGCACAGAGAAAUCAAAUCCAUGGAGAAUCUUCAAAUUAGGCUCAGAAUCCAUUUGGGUCAAUGAAUUUACUGUUAUUAAGAUCUUAGUUGUGUUCAACCAUGAUUUGACAUACCUUAGAGUGAGAAGAUAUUCUUCCUGGCCUCAGACUAGUUGAAGGUAGAGAGAGAGACAGGCCCUUGGGUGUGGGGAGACCUCUCCUGGGAUAAUACACACAAAAAACCAAGAGCUGCUCACUGUGGUGCAGGAGACAGCAGGGCCUGAAGCCAGAGGCUCUGUGUCCUUGAAUACAAUGUUUUACUCCUCUGACCCCUGUUACUGUGAUUUGGAGAGGCAGACAAUAUAGGAUGGGCUUUGCAGGCAGGGAGGUCCAGUUAUAAUCCCAGCUCUUACUAAGUUGGGUAAGACUCACUCUGAGACUUAGUUUCUUCUGUCAUCUCUCAAUAGAAUCAUAAAGGUACUUUCCUCUUAGUGUUGUUUUAAAAUUCAGUAAAAUAAUGCAGGCUUAGCACAGGGUCUGAUGUAAAUUUUCAAUGAAUUAUCGUUGUCAAUAUUGUUCUGGAAAACAAGAGGGCAUAUUAGAAGAUCAAAAGUACUGCCAAGCAUUGAAGUGCCAAUUCUAGAUCCAGUCUCAGCCCUCUGAGAAUGGAUAUCAUUGUUUUCAAGCCAUUCAGAAACCAAUGUGAAUUGAACACCUAGUAUGAGCUCUCUGAGGGAAGAGCCAAGUCAUGCAUUUUUUAUCUUAAGGGGUCUUCAAUACCUCUAGCCCAAAACAGUAUCUCCAUCAGGAUUCUUCUCUGAUAGUGUUCAUUUCUUUUUUCUCAAUGGAUGCCUUAAAAAAAAAAUCCUACAAGGAAACCUGUACUCCUCAAAUACACCACUCAGGUGACCAUUAAAUCAUUUACAUUG
Long non-coding RNA from Homo sapiens (human), 1701 nucleotides. Ensembl annotates it as ZNF503 antisense RNA 1. Its record names the gene ZNF503-AS1. NCBI's taxonomy places the organism in Eukaryota, Metazoa, Chordata, Mammalia, Primates, Hominidae. The record is from Ensembl.